UACGUAGGGCGCAAGCGUUGUCCGGAAUUAUUGGGCGUAAAGAGCUCGUAGGCGGUCUGUCGCGUCUGCCGUGAAAACCCGAGGCUUAACCUCGGGCUGGCGGUGGAUACGGGCAGACUAGAGGUAGGUAGGGGAGAAUGGAAUUCCCGGUGUAGCGGUGAAAUGCGCAGAUAUCGGGAGGAACACCAGUGGCGAAGGCGACUACCUGGCCUGUUUCUUGACGCUGAGGCGCGAAAGCUAGGGGAGCAAACGGG
RNAcentral lists this ribosomal RNA (254 nucleotides) under uncultured bacterium. RNAcentral's name for it is "partial 16S ribosomal RNA". It matches the Rfam family "Bacterial small subunit ribosomal RNA", at positions 524 to 776 of the family's 1533-position model. The record is from RNAcentral.